AUGGCCGACGCCCGCCUCCUUGUCGGCAACCGCAUGGCCGAGCACGAAUUCGAGGCGGCCGACACUUGGGACAACGUCUGCGUGGAGGUCAUCCCGGGGAAGCGGCGCAUAGACCUGUACCUGAAUCAUGAUUCCCAGAGGUACAUGCUUGAGGUGUUCUUCGAGGACAUCAGGGAUUGUCUCCAGUGCAGCUUCGAUGGGACCGGCGUCAUAUUGCUUCAGGACCUGUCGGAAGGCGUCACUCCUCUGAAGAUCAGGUUAUUCCUCUCUGUCCAGAUCUACCACGCUGCUGUGGUGAACACUUCCAUGAUCAUGGGUUUGUUUAGCCGCUGCCAUCCAGUCAAACCUAUCUCCUUCUAUUGCCCAGGUCAACCCAACUGA
RNAcentral lists this ribosomal RNA (381 nucleotides) under Triticum aestivum (bread wheat). RNAcentral describes it as "partial small subunit ribosomal RNA". The record is from RNAcentral. Lineage: Eukaryota; Viridiplantae; Streptophyta; Magnoliopsida; Poales; Poaceae.